UGAACGCUGGCGGCGUGCCUAACACAUGCAAGUCGAGCGUGAACCCUUAGAAUGAAACUUCGGUCGAAUGAAGAGGGGGAAAGCGGCGGACGGGUGAGUAACGCGUAGGCAACCUGCCCCGUACAGAGGGAUAGCCUCGGGAAACCGGGAUUAAAACCUCAUAAUACCAUGGUAUCACAUGAUGCAAUGGUCAAAGAUUUAUCGGUAUGGGAUGGGCCUGCGUCUGAUUAGCUGGUUGGUGGGGUAACGGCCUACCAAGGCAACGAUCAGUAGCCGACCUGAGAGGGUAAUCGGCCACAUUGGAACUGGAGACACGGUCCAAACUCCUACGGGAGGCAGCAGUGGGGAAUAUUGCACAAUGGGCGAAAAAGCCUGAUGCAGCAACGCCGCGUGAGCGAAGAAGGCCUUUGGGUCGUAAAGCUCUGUCGGGAAGGAAGAUAAUGACGGUACUUCCCGAGGAAGCCCCGGCUAACUACGUGCCAGCCGCCGC
RNAcentral lists this ribosomal RNA (490 nucleotides) under uncultured bacterium. RNAcentral describes it as "bacterial SSU rRNA". It matches the Rfam family "Bacterial small subunit ribosomal RNA", at positions 30 to 518 of the family's 1533-position model. The record is from RNAcentral.